CAAAAGACGUAACAGUGCCUGUUCCAGGGCUGUUUGCAUUCAGUGAAGCAUAUCAAAAUAAUGGCCAUGAUUUGCCCUCAUAAUUCAUACGAUGGUGUUUUCUUUCCUAAGCACAACGGAAAGCUCACAUGAUUACAUUAUAAAAUAAAACAUAUCUGCCAAACAUUUCAUUAUCUUUUGUUUUACCAUUCUCAUCCCAAUACCAAAUAACCCCUUGAAGUAGGGUUUAGUGGCUAAAAGAAGGAUUUCAAAUCAGAUAGAUUGGGUUAAGAUGCAGAUAAAUUGCCCUUCAGCCAUGUUCUGCAUGUAAAAUAUAACUAAAAUACGUCACAUGUAUUGCUUGGAAUAUUUAAAGAAAUUAAAUAUGUAAAGCAUUUACUCAAUAGAUGAUAGGAAGUGUGCCUGUACAUUAGCACAAACAACAGUAGAAUUUUGUGAGUUUUCAAAUUAUAUAAUUGAGUACACUAAUAUCCACUUAUUUGAUCUUCAUUCAUUGACCUGAUUUUCCUUUAUUCAGAUAGCAAAUAGAACAGCGUUUCUUCUUUAGUUUUUAAAAUAAAUAGCUGUACAUAUUCUGCAUUUGUUUACUUUAUGAGAAUUUUAACAAUUUCCCUUUCUGUCUCAAAUGUAAAUGUUUUUUCUCUGUUAAGCACAUAAAACCUAUUAGAAAUAUAUCUUCUCUUUGUUUUUAGCUAACCAUAGGGAGAGAAGUCAUAUUGUGAACAAGUUAUUUUUCUGAGACUUUAUAAAGAUUAAAAAGUCAAAAGAGGAGUUCCCCUCGUGGCUCAGUGGUUAAUGAAUCUGACUAGGAACCAUGAGGUUGCAGGUUUGAUCCCUGGCCUCGCUCAGUGGGUUAAGGAUCCUGCGCUGCUGUGAGCUGUGAUGUAAGUUGUAGAUGUGGCUCCGACCUAGCGUUGCGUGGCUGUGGCGUAUGGCAGCAACAGCUCCAAUUCGACCCCUAGCCUGGGAACCUCCAUAUGCAGUGGGUGCAGCCCUAAAAAGGACAAAAAGAACAACAACUAAAAAAAGUCAAAAGGAUAAGUUUAAACCAAAAAUUGUCCUUUUUUAAAAAUAUGUUUCUCUACUUUUCAUAUUCACUCAACUUUUUGUUAUUGCUUUCUUUGUAAAUAAAGUUUAGUGUUUUAAGUUCAUACCAGGAAAUAGAUUUUUCCCCCCGAUUUUCUUUUUUAAAGAGGUAGUGGUACUUCAUGAAAUUAACUUUUUCAAAUUAUUUCUUAGUUAUUUGUAUUUGAUUUUGACAUUGACUGUUAGGAAUUCAUAAUACUAAUGGCAUCAUUCAUAUGCCAUAAACUUCUUACCAGUUAUAGAUUCCACUUGCUUCAAAUAUGAGUGACAAUGGAUAUUUAUGUAUCUCUACUUUCUUUUCCUACUAGUUCUUUGGAAUUUUCCUAACCUGAAAUAUUUAUAGAAUUCAUAACGUCUUUUAUUGUGUCAGUAUCUCUCAAUACUUCUACUAAUGCCUAAACUGAAAAUGUCAUGUUAAAUCACUGUAAAACAUGUAUUAAUUUCCUCAUGUAAACCAUAUUGUUAAUUAUUUUGAAGGGGAACUAGAGAGACAUGGUCUCUGCACUCUAGAAUUUUAAAAUGUAAUCUAUUUGAUGUUUACAUAAGGAAAAUGCCAAAGGAAAUAUAAUCGUAUAUAACACAGAUUAGAACUAAGGGAAGAGAUGCAAUGGAACUUAGAACAUAGUAACUAUAAACAUGAAAUAGUCAACAUAAUUGAAACAUCAAUCCUUUGAGCUUUGUGACCAUCUGCUAUUCAAUAAGCAUUAACCUAAAAUGAAAUUUUGUAUAGACUAAUAAGUUAAUAAGAUCUUAUUCUUCCAAUGUAUUACAAAAACAAGUAGCCACUCUGUAAUAUUCCUUAGAUAUUCUUCAGAAAGCAUCAGAAUCUCAAAUAAUGAAGCUAUGAAAUAAGACAGUUUUAAAGAGAUAUCUAACAGUGCAUAUUUGUUGUUAAAUAAGUGAAAGGAAUUCUAUAUUUAAAUGAUUAUACAUAUGUUGAAUAAUAUAACAGAAAUGUCCAGCUUGAUAAGGGUAGAAAACUUUUUUAAAAACCAAAUAGAGCUGUAAAUCAACUCUACUUUUAAAAAA
RNAcentral lists this long non-coding RNA (2115 nucleotides) under Sus scrofa (pig). RNAcentral's name for it is "lncRNA (ENSSSCG00000055737.1)". Lineage: Eukaryota; Metazoa; Chordata; Mammalia; Artiodactyla; Suidae. The record is from RNAcentral.